GUGGCAUACGGCUCAGUAACACGUAGUCAACAUGCCCAGGGGACGUGGAUAACCUCGGGAAACUGAGUCUAAACCGCGAUAAGUGAGGAUUUCUGGAAUGGUUCCUGACUAAAAUCUAUAUGGCCUCUGGAUUGGACUGCGGCCGAUCAGGCUGUUGGUGAGGUAAUGGCCCACCAAACCUGUAACCGGUACGGGCUCUGAGAGGAGGAGCCCGGAGAUGGGCACUGAGACAAGGGCCCAGGCCCUAUGGGGCGCAGCAGGCGCGAAACCUCUGCAAUAGGCGAAAGCCUGACAGGGUUACUCUGAGUGACUUUCGCUAAGAAAGUCUUUUGGCACCUCUAAAAAGGGUGCAGAAUAAGGGGUGGGCAAGUCUGGUGUCAGCCGCCGCGGUAAUACCAGCACCCCGAGUGGUCGGGACGAUUAUUGGGCCUAAAGCAUCCGUAGCCGGUUCUGCAAGUCCCCCGUUAAAUCCAGCUGCUCAACAGAUGGGCCGCGGAGGAUACUACAGAGCUAGGAGGCAGGAGAGGCAAGCGGUACUCAGUGGGUAGGGGUAAAAUCCGUUGAUCCAUUGAAGACCACCAGUGGCGAAGGCGGCUUGCCAGAAUGCGCUCGACGGUGAGGGAUGAAAGCUGGGGGAGCAAACCGGAUUAGAUACCCGGGUAGUCCCAGCUGUAAACGAUGCAGACU
Molecule: ribosomal RNA, 687 nt
Filed under: uncultured archaeon
Lineage: Archaea
Description: bacterial SSU rRNA
Rfam family: Archaeal small subunit ribosomal RNA
Source: RNAcentral